RNAcentral lists this transfer RNA (88 nucleotides) under Dehalococcoidia bacterium. Its description in RNAcentral is "tRNA-Tyr". It matches the Rfam family "tRNA". Rfam says of the family: Transfer RNA (tRNA) molecules are approximately 80 nucleotides in length. Lineage: Bacteria; Bacillati; Chloroflexota; Dehalococcoidia. The record is from RNAcentral.
GGAGGGGUGGGUGAGUGGUUUAAACCACCAGACUGUAAAUCUGGCGCUCGGAAGGGCUUCGUAGGUUCGAAUCCUACCCCCUCCACCA